RNAcentral lists this long non-coding RNA (1270 nucleotides) under Calidris pygmaea (Spoon-billed sandpiper). Its description in RNAcentral is "lncRNA (ENSCPGG00000010525.1)". The record is from RNAcentral. Lineage: Eukaryota; Metazoa; Chordata; Aves; Charadriiformes; Scolopacidae.
GUCCCCAACCCUCGUGUCCCCCCCCGUUUCCAGGAGCAGGGCUCCACCUUCCUCCAGCUGGGCUCCUCCACGGAGCAGCAGCUGCAGGUGAUCUUCGAGGUGCUGGAGGAGUACGACUGGACCACCUUCGCCCUGGUGACCACCUUGCGCCCGGGCCACCAGGCCUUCGUCUCCUACGUGGAAGGGCUGACGGACGGCAGCUUCAUCGGGUGGGAGCACCGGGGGGUCCUCACCCUCAACCUCACCCAGGACCCCCGGGGCACCCGCUGGCGCCGCCAACUGCGGGACCUGGACGCCCAGAUCCGGCUCCUCUUCUGCUCCCGGGAGGAGGCCCCCGCUCUUUUUCGGGGGGCUCGGGAGGCCGGGGUGGCCGGGCCGGGCUACGUCUGGUUCCUGGUGGGGGCCCAACUCGGGGCUGGGGGCGCCGAGGUGCCCCCCGAAGCCCCCGCCGGCCUCUUCGCCGUCCUCUCGGCCGGUUGGAAGGAGGACCUGGGCCAGCGGUUGCGCCGGGGGGUGGCCAUCCUGGCCCAGGGGGCCAGAGCCCUCCUCAGCGACCCCCGGGGGCCCCCCCGUUUCUCCGGGGACUGUCGGGACCCCCAAGGCCACCCCCCGGCCCGGCGCGGCCUGCACCGGUGAGCGGCGGGACCCCCGGCCCCGACCUGAGCUCGCGGCGACGUCACGGCGACGUCACGGCGUGGGGUGUCCCCUUCUCAUCUCCAGGUACUUCUCCAACAUCACCUGGGGGCAGCGGGACUUCUCCUUCAACGAGGAGGGCUUCCUCGUCAACCCCUCUCUCGUCGUCAUCGCCCUCAACAAGGAGCGCGCCUGGGAGGUGGUGGGGAGCUGGGAGGGGGGGCGGCUGCGCCUGACGCACCCCCCCUGGUCGCGCUACGGCCGGUUCCUGCAGCCGGUGGCCGACGGGCGUCACCUGCGGGUGGCCACCCUGGAGGAGCGCCCCUUCGUCAUCGUGGAGGGGGUGGACCCCGUCACCGGCACCUGCAUCCGCGACUCCGUGCCCUGCCGCCACCAGCGCAACCGCACGGCGGGGUGAGUGCCCCAAAACGGCCUUAAUUCGCCCCAAAANNNNNNNNNNNNNNNNNNNNNNNNNNNNNNNNNNNNNNNNNNNNNNNNGGGUGAGUGACCCAAAACGGCCUUAAUUCGCCCCAAAACGGCCCUGCCGCCACCAGCGCAACCGCACGGCGGGGUGAGUGCCCCAAAACGGCCUUAAUUCGCCCCAAAACGGCCCUGCCGCCACCAGCGCAACCGCACC